GACGAACGCUGGCGGCGUGCCUAAUACAUGCAAGUUGAGCGAUGAAGAUUGGUGCUUGCACCAAUUUGAAGAGCAGCGAACGGGUGAGUAACGCGUGGGGAAUCUGCCUUUGAGCGGGGGACAACAUUUGGAAACGAAUGCUAAUACCGCAUAACAACUUUAAACAUAAGUUUUAAGUUUGAAAGAUGCAAUUGCAUCACUCAAAGAUGAUCCCGCGUUGUAUUAGCUAGUUGGUGAGGUAAAGGCUCACCAAGGCGAUGAUACAUAGCAGACCUGAGAGGGUGAUCGGCCACAUUGGGACUGAGACACGGCCCAAACUCCUACGGGAGGCAGCAGUAGGGAAUCUUCGGCAAUGGACGAAAGUCUGACCGAGCAACGCCGCGUGAGUGAAGAAGGUUUUCGGAUCGUAAAACUCUGUUGGUAGAGAAGAACGUUGGUGAGAGUGGAAAGCUCAUCAAGUGACGGUAACUACCCAGAAAGGGACGGCUAACUACGUG
RNAcentral lists this ribosomal RNA (497 nucleotides) under uncultured bacterium. RNAcentral describes it as "partial 16S ribosomal RNA". It matches the Rfam family "Bacterial small subunit ribosomal RNA", at positions 28 to 507 of the family's 1533-position model. The record is from RNAcentral.